RNAcentral lists this ribosomal RNA (440 nucleotides) under uncultured bacterium. RNAcentral's name for it is "partial 16S ribosomal RNA". It matches the Rfam family "Bacterial small subunit ribosomal RNA", at positions 338 to 795 of the family's 1533-position model. The record is from RNAcentral.
CCUACGGGUGGCUGCAGUGGGGAAUAUUCCACAAUGGGGGAAACCCUGAUGCAGCAACGCCGCGUGAGCGAUGAAGGCCUUCGGGUCGUAAAGCUCUGUCCUAAGGGAAGAAUACUGACGGUACCUUAGGAGGAAGCACCGGCGAACUACGUGCCAGCCGCUGUGGUAAUACGAAGGGGGGUAGCGUUAUCCGGAAUUACUGGGCGUAAAGGGUGCGUAGGCGGCCCUUCAAGUCAGAGCUGAAAGGGUACGGCUCAACCGUAGUAAGACUUAUAAACUGUAGUGCUUGAGUGCAGGAGAGGAGGGUGGAAUACCAAGUGUAGCGGUGAAAUUCGUAGAAAUUGGGCGGAACACCAGUAGCGAACGCGGCUCUGUGGACUAUAACUGACGCUGAGACACGAAAGCGUGGGGGGCGAACAGGAUUAGAUACCCGUGUAUUC